Haplochromis burtoni (Burton's mouthbrooder) is the source of this 1819-nucleotide long non-coding RNA. RefSeq lists it as uncharacterized. The record is from RefSeq and is a predicted model, not a curated record. The transcript is spliced from 3 exons. NCBI's taxonomy places the organism in Eukaryota, Metazoa, Chordata, Actinopteri, Cichliformes, Cichlidae.
UUAAACAGCUUAUCAACAAAACUGGGCGGCAUUCAAUGGUAGUUUGUUUCAAGUUUCUUCAGAGAAGAAAUCCUGGCAACAAAGCAGACAAGACUGUCUUCAAAAAGGUGCAGACCUGAUGAUUAUUAACAGCCGAGGGGAACAGAACUUUGUGAACCAGCUCAAGAUGUGUUUGUGGAUUGGACUGACUGACUCAGAGACAGAGGGGACAUGGAAAUGGGUGGAUGGGACUCGCAUGACCACAAGCUACUGGAAUAGUGGGGAACCAAAUGGUGGCAGAAAUGAAAACUGUGGAGAGAUAAAAACUUAUGACUCAGAAAAAAGCUGGAACGAUGAAUCAUGUUCCAAUGAAAAAUUCUGGAUAUGUGAGAAGAGAGUUUCUCCAUAACUUAACAUCCACGCCCAAAAAAUAAUGCAUAACACAGAGCCAUGAGAUCAACUCCUGAAAUGAAGCAGAACAGAAAGCAGUGGACAUUUACAGCGGGUAAAAUAAGUAUUGAACACGUCACCAAUUUUCUGAGUAAACAUAUUUCUAAAGGUAUUAUUGAAAAAAAUUCUCGCCAUAUAUCAGUAACAACCCAUCCAAUCCACACAUGCAAGGAAAUUAAACCAGAUGCCCAUAAAUUAAUCCAUGUUUGAUAGCGAAAACUGACACAGGGAAAAAGUAUUGAACACAUGAAGAAGGUGCAAAGAGUCAUGACACCAAUUUAAAACUAUCAGUAAUAAGAUAGCAAUCCUGCCACUUAAUGCAAAUUAAUAUCACCUGAUUCAGUCCCAACUUAUGGGCUAUAAAAAGGUGAUGAUGAUGAUGAUGAUGAAGCCAUUUAUUUGCCACUUGCAGUUGCCUGCAGCAAGACUUGACCUCUCCCGAUCAUACAUACAAUACACAAACAUCACAUUGGGUUGACAGGUCAGAACAGGUAGCGUAACGAAAAAACAAUGAAAUGUACAACACAAUAGUGGAAUGUAGGAGAGAAAAAGAGAACUCAGACUGAGCUCCUAGUGGGAGAUCAGUAUAAGAACAGAAAACAAACUCCUCAGCACAAUAAGCACAUGAAUCUUCACACCAUAACACCAUGAAAACACAUCACAAGCAACAGGGGUGGCUGCAUCGAGUGGGGGCAAGCUUUUGGCAUAUGGAGGGAGGAAGGGGGAUGAGUAUAUGUCUGUGUCUGUAUACGUGUGUGUAUGCAUGUAUAUGUGUAUCCUGUGUUCAACUGAGACAGUGUCCCUUCACCCAGAUGAGCGAAAUUAAACAGUCGUACAGCUGACCCAGGUGGCCUUGAAGGGUGUAGUGUAAAGAGUCGAAAACACAGUCCCGUUAUCAGGGAAAGCAGAGGCCUCGGGGGCCUUCAAGCAGCAACGUGGGUAGCCAGAUGAGAGAAAUGAUGGUUGUUUGGGUUUAGUGCGAACGCGCUGCAUCCAACUUUAAAGCCGUUCUAAAUGUCAGUCACUGGUCACCGGGUCUGUCAAUUCCCCGUUGAGGAGCUGUGAGCUUCUCCAAGAUCCAUGUUGCGUUCAAUAAGCACAGUGUGAGUACUCACAGCCCUUCCCAUCACUUACAUCAUAGCGGCUAGCCUUGUGGGGUUUUCUUUCUUCAAUCUUCGAAAAGCCAGGGCCAGCUCCGAUCAGCAAGAACCCAGUUACCAUGGUUCUGAAUAGGUAUAAAUCUUCUAUGUCCUCAAUUGAAAGUCCCACCAGGCACAAACGUCCCUCCGGUACAAUCAGGUUGUGAAGAGCUACAGAAAGACCUGAAAUUAGCUGAUACAAUUGUUUCAAAGAAAACAAUAAGUGACACAUUCAACUGCGAUGACCUAUA